AUUUAUUGUUUGCUUGUUUGUUUUAUGAAUGAUUUUUGCUCCAUGUACAGCACUUUGUAUACAGCGGUGGUUGUUUUAAAGUGUUCUAUAAAUACAGUCGAGUUGACUAAUGAAUAGCGCUGACAUGAAACGCUUUCACCUUUUAUCAUCUAUUGCAAACAAUUAACAAGCCGCAUAGAUGUUAAACUCCAACCAUGUCACAGACUCACUGUGACCCUUACAAUGCGUAAAACAGUGAAAACUUUCUGAUUCCGAUGGCAUGGGACCUCAAAAACACAUUUAAAGCUCAAGCUGAAGCAAAACAAAAACAUUGCACACGGCAUGAACUGGAAACAAACAAGAAUCACUGUUUCAAAUAAACAGUUCAAUGAAAUUCAACAUGCGCUAUAUUAAGGUACGGUACUUAUGAAGCAUGACAGGGGCUUAUUCAAAAGUAAAAUCGCAACAUUUUUAAAAGUCUCCACAUUAAAAAAAACAAA
Molecule: long non-coding RNA, 479 nt
Organism: Hippocampus comes (tiger tail seahorse)
Lineage: Eukaryota; Metazoa; Chordata; Actinopteri; Syngnathiformes; Syngnathidae
Exons: 2
Source: RefSeq, a predicted model, not a curated record